This is a non-coding RNA of Triticum urartu, 115 nucleotides long. The record is from Rfam. NCBI's taxonomy places the organism in Eukaryota, Viridiplantae, Streptophyta, Magnoliopsida, Poales, Poaceae.
AUUUUACUCCCUCCGUUCCGAAUUACUUGUCGCAAGUAUGGAUGCAUCUAGAUGUAUUUUAGUUCUAGAUACAUCCAUUUCCACGACGAGUAAUUUGGAACGGAGCGAGUACAUA